ACGGAAGGCAGCAGUGGGGAAUAUUGGGCAAUGGGGGAAACCCUGACCCAGCAACGCCGCGUGAAGGAAGAAGGCCUUCGGGUUGUAAACUUCUUUUACCAGGGACGAUAAUGACGGUACCUGGAGAAAAAGUAACGGCUAACUACGUGCCAGCAGCCGCGGUAAUACGUAGGUUGCAAGCGUUGUCCGGAUUUACUGGGUGUAAAGGGCGUGUAGGCGGAGCUGCAAGUCAGAUGUGAAAUCCCGGGGCUCAACCCCGGGACUGCAUUUGAAACUGUAGCCCUUGAGUAUCGGAGAGGCAAGCGGAAUUCCUAGUGUAGCGGUGAAAUGCGUAGAUAUUAGGAGGAACACCAGUGGCGAAGGCGGCUUGCUGGACGACAACUGACGCUGAGGCGCGAAAGCGUGGGGAGCAAACAGGAUUAGAUACCCUGGUA
This 434-nucleotide ribosomal RNA is filed under the name uncultured Oscillospiraceae bacterium. RNAcentral's name for it is "partial 16S ribosomal RNA". It matches the Rfam family "Bacterial small subunit ribosomal RNA", at positions 341 to 792 of the family's 1533-position model. The record is from RNAcentral. Lineage: Bacteria; Bacillati; Bacillota; Clostridia; Eubacteriales; Oscillospiraceae.